CGCGUAGGCGGCCUGCUAAGUCCGGUGUGAAAACUUAAGGCUCAACCUUAAGAUGGCACUGGAAACUGACAGGCUUGAGGUCAGGAGAGGAAAGCGGAAUUCCUAGUGUAGCAGUGAAAUGCGUAGAUAUUAGGAGGAACACCAGUGGCGAAGGCGGCUUUCUGGACUGAUUCUGACGCUGAGGUGCGAAAGCCAGGGGAGCAAACG
This 207-nucleotide ribosomal RNA is filed under the name uncultured bacterium. RNAcentral's name for it is "partial 16S ribosomal RNA". It matches the Rfam family "Bacterial small subunit ribosomal RNA", at positions 568 to 774 of the family's 1533-position model. The record is from RNAcentral.